AUUGAACGCUGGCGGCAUGCUUUACACAUGCAAGUCGAACGGUAACAGGGUGCUCGCACCGCUGACGAGUGGCGAACGGGUGAGUAAUGCGUCGGAACGUGCCGAGUAGUGGGGGAUAACGCAGCGAAAGUUGUGCUAAUACCGCAUACGUACUGAGGUAGAAAGUGGGGGACCUUCGGGCCUCACGCUAUUCGAGCGGCCGACGUCUGAUUAGCUAGUAGGUGAGGUAAAGGCUCACCUAGGCGACGAUCAGUAGCGGGUCUGAGAGGAUGAUCCGCCACACUGGGACUGAGACACGGACCAGACUCCUACGGGAGGCAGCAGUGGGGAAUUUUGGACAAUGGGCGAAAGCCUGAUCCAGCCAUGCCGCGUGUCUGAAGAAGGCCUUCGGGUUGUAAAGGACUUUUGUCAGGGAGGAAAUCCCUAGUGCUAAUAACACUGGGGGAUGACAGUACCUGAAGAAUAAGCACCGGCUAACUACGUGCCAGCAGCCGCCGUAA
Molecule: ribosomal RNA, 500 nt
Filed under: uncultured bacterium
Lineage: Bacteria
Description: partial 16S ribosomal RNA
Rfam family: Bacterial small subunit ribosomal RNA
Source: RNAcentral